This is an unclassified non-coding RNA of Pongo abelii (Sumatran orangutan), 117 nucleotides long. It matches the Rfam family "Metazoan signal recognition particle RNA". From Rfam's summary of the family: The signal recognition particle (SRP) is a universally conserved ribonucleoprotein. It is involved in the co-translational targeting of proteins to membranes. The eukaryotic SRP consists of a 300-nucleotide 7S RNA and six proteins: SRPs 72, 68, 54, 19, 14, and 9. Lineage: Eukaryota; Metazoa; Chordata; Mammalia; Primates; Hominidae. The record is from Ensembl.
GCUGGGUGUGGUGGCUCAUGCCUGUAAUCCCACCACUUUGGGAGGCUGAGGCGGGUGGAUCACCUGAGGUCAGGAGUUCGAGACCAGCCUGGCCAACAUGGUGAAACCCCGUCUCUA